RNA transcript from Pan troglodytes (chimpanzee), 4808 nucleotides. It is a transcript of the gene named KIAA0319 like, with no coding region annotated. The record is from RefSeq and is a predicted model, not a curated record. The transcript is spliced from 22 exons. Lineage: Eukaryota; Metazoa; Chordata; Mammalia; Primates; Hominidae.
AGCCCGCACUACCUUUUUCCUCUUCCUCCUCCUCCGGGUGAGGGGAGCGAAGGUUGGGGGUCCCCGAGCCCAUGGACCAGGAGGAGGCGGAGGCCGCCGAGAGCCGGGGCCCCGCUAUGUGGCCCUGAGCCCCGUGUACUGGUUCUGCCUGUCUGGAGGGCCAUGGAGAAGAGGCUGGGAGUCAAGCCAAAUCCUGCUUCCUGGAUUUUAUCAGGAUAUUAUUGGCAGACAUCUGUGAAGUGGUUGAGAAGCCUGUACCUGUUUUAUACUUGCUUUUGCUUCAGCGUUCUGUGGUUGUCAACAGAUGCCAGUGAGAGCAGGUGCCAGCAGGGGAAGACACAAUUUGGAGUUGGCCUGAGAUCUGGGGGAGAAAAUCACCUCUGGCUUCUUGAAGGAACCCCCUCUCUCCAGUCAUGUUGGGCUGCCUGCUGCCAGGACUCUGCCUGCCAUGUCUUUUGGUGGCUAGAAGGGAUGUGCAUUCAGGCAGACUGCAGCAGGCCCCAGAGCUGCCGGGCUUUUAGGACACACUCCUCCAAUUCCAUGCUGGUGUUUUUAAAAAAAUUCCAAACUGCAGAUGAUUUGGGCUUUCUACCUGAAGAUGAUGUACCACAUCUUCUGGGGCUAGGUUGGAACUGGGCAUCUUGGAGGCAGAGCCCACCCAGAGCUGCACUCAGACCUGCUGUAUCCUCCAGUGACCAGCAGAGCUUAAUCAGGAAGCUUCAGAAGAGAGGUAGUCCCAGUGAAGUAGUUACACCUAUAGUGACACAGCAUUCUAAAGUGAAUGACUCCAACGAAUUAGGUGGUCUGACUACCAGUGGCUCUGCAGAGGUCCACAAGGCGAUUACAAUUUCCAGUCCCCUAACCACAGACCUGACUGCAGAGCUGUCUGGUGGGCCAAAGAAUGUAUCAGUGCAACCUGAAAUAUCAGAGGGUCUUGCUACUACGCCCAGCACUCAACAAGUAAAAAGUUCUGAGAAAACCCAGAUUGCUGUCCCCCAGCCAGUGGCUCCCUCCUACAGUUAUGCUACCCCUACCCCCCAGGCCUCUUUCCAGAGCACCUCAGCACCAUACCCAGUUAUAAAGGAACUGGUGGUAUCUGCUGGAGAGAGUGUCCAGAUAACCCUGCCUAAGAAUGAAGUUCAAUUAAAUGCAUAUGUUCUCCAAGAACCACCUAAAGGAGAAACCUACACCUACGACUGGCAGCUGAUUACUCAUCCUAGAGACUACAGUGGAGAAAUGGAAGGGAAACAUUCCCAGAUCCUCAAACUAUCGAAGCUCACUCCAGGCCUGUAUGAAUUCAAAGUGAUUGUAGAGGGUCAAAAUGCCCAUGGGGAAGGCUAUGUGAACGUGACAGUCAAGCCAGAGCCCCGUAAGAAUCGGCCCCCCAUUGCUAUCGUGUCACCUCAGUUCCAGGAGAUCUCUUUGCCAACCACUUCUACAGUCAUUGAUGGCAGUCAAAGCACUGAUGAUGAUAAAAUCGUUCAGUACCAUUGGGAAGAACUUAAGGGGCCUCUGAGAGAAGAGAAGAUUUCUGAAGAUACAGCCAUAUUAAAACUAAGUAAACUCGUCCCUGGGAACUACACUUUCAGCUUGACUGUAGUAGACUCUGAUGGAGCUACCAACUCUACUACUGCAAACCUGACAGUGAACAAAGCUGUGGAUUACCCCCCUGUGGCCAACGCAGGCCCCAACCAAGUGAUCACCCUGCCCCAAAACUCCAUCACCCUCUUUGGGAACCAGAGCACUGAUGAUCAUGGCAUCACCAGCUAUGAGUGGUCACUCAGCCCAAGCAGCAAAGGGAAAGUGGUGGAGAUGCAGGGUGUUAGAACACCAACCUUACAGCUCUCUGCGAUGCAAGAAGGAGACUACACUUACCAGCUCACAGUGACUGACACAAUAGGACAGCAGGCCACUGCUCAAGUGACUGUUAUUGUGCAACCUGAAAACAAUAAGCCUCCUCAGGCAGAUGCAGGCCCAGAUAAAGAGCUGACCCUUCCUGUGGAUAGCACAACCCUGGAUGGCAGCAAGAGCUCAGAUGAUCAGAAAAUUAUCUCAUAUCUCUGGGAAAAAACACAGGGACCUGAUGGGGUGCAGCUCGAGAAUGCUAACAGCAGUGUUGCCACUGUGACUGGGCUGCAAGUGGGGACCUAUGUGUUCACCUUGACUGUCAAAGAUGAGAGGAACCUGCAAAGCCAGAGCUCUGUGAAUGUCAUUGUCAAAGAAGAAAUAAACAAACCACCUAUAGCCAAGAUAACUGGGAAUGUGGUGAUUACCCUACCCACGAGCACAGCAGAGCUGGAUGGCUCUAAGUCCUCAGAUGACAAGGGAAUAGUCAGCUACCUCUGGACUCGAGAUGAGGGGAGCCCAGCAGCAGGGGAGGUGUUAAAUCACUCUGACCAUCACCCUAUCCUUUUUCUUUCAAACCUGGUUGAGGGAACCUACACUUUUCACCUGAAAGUGACCGAUGCAAAGGGUGAGAGUGACACAGACCGGACCACUGUGGAGGUGAAACCUGAUCCCAGGAAAAACAACCUGGUGGAGAUCAUCUUGGAUAUCAACGUCAGUCAGCUAACUGAGAGGCUGAAGGGGAUGUUCAUCCGCCAGAUUGGGGUCCUCCUGGGGGUGCUGGAUUCCGACAUCAUUGUGCAAAAGAUUCAGCCGUACACGGAGCAGAGCACCAAAAUGGUAUUUUUUGUUCAAAACGAGCCUCCCCACCAGAUCUUCAAAGGCCAUGAGGUGGCAGCGAUGCUCAAGAGUGAGCUGCGGAAGCAAAAGGCAGACUUUUUGAUAUUCAGAGCCUUGGAAGUCAACACUGUCACAUGUCAGCUGAACUGUUCCGACCAUGGCCACUGUGACUCGUUCACCAAACGCUGUAUCUGUGACCCUUUUUGGAUGGAGAAUUUCAUCAAGGUGCAGCUGAGGGAUGGAGACAGCAACUGUGAGUGGAGCGUGUUAUAUGUUAUCAUUGCUACCUUUGUCAUUGUUGUUGCCUUGGGAAUCCUGUCUUGGACUGUGAUCUGUUGUUGUAAGAGGCAAAAAGGAAAACCCAAGAGGAAAAGCAAAUACAAGAUCCUGGAUGCCACGGAUCAGGAAAGCCUGGAGCUGAAGCCAACCUCCCGGGCAGCAUCCAGUGAAGCCACAGCAGACAAGAGCCCACAGAGCAAAUGUCUACAUGGACUGAAACUGCACACUCCUGCUGUGCCAGCACUCAGCGGCCCUGCUGACCUAGGGUGCAGCUAAAAGCUCAUUCUCCAGAGCCUGAGUUCUUUGUGCUUUCCUGCCUACCAUGUCACUCCACCCAUAGAGGGAGGUGAUAAAAUAUUCCAAAUUUGAAAGGUAAAGAAAAGAGAAUGUCACUGAGUGGCCUGAACCAAAGCUCAUGGAUACUGGAGAUGAAGAACCAGCAGGAGACCCCAGGUGUGCUCUCAUCCAUACUCUGUGACACCCCUUAGUGGACUGUUCCAGCCAGUUGAGCCCGGGAGAAGGACUAGGGAAGCUUCCUUCCCAUCUGCACCUCCCAGCCUGGCAUCAAACAGAAAGGCCUGGUGCUAAGUAGCAGCCUGAUGCACUCCGAGUCAGAGCUGGACAGCGACGAUGCCAUCUUUACAUGGCCAGACCGAGAGAAGGGCAAACUCCUGCAUGGUCAGAAUGGCUCUGUACCCAACGGGCAGACCCCUCUGAAGGCCAGGAGCCCGCGGGAGGAGAUCCUGUAGCCACCUGGUCUGUCUCCUCAGGGCAGGGCCCAGCACACUGCCUGGCCAGUCCUCCUACCUCCCGAGUCUGCGGGCAGCUGCUGUCCCAGCAUCUGCUGGUCAUUUCGCCCUGACAGUCCCAACCAGAACCCCUGGGACUUGAAUCCAGAGACGUCCUCCAGGAACCCCUGAACGAAGCUGUGAAUGAAGAGGUUUCCUCUUUAAACCUGUCUGGUGGGCCCCCAGAUAUCCUCACCUCAGGGCCUCCUUUUUUUGCAAACUCCUCCCCUCCCCCGAGGGCAGACCCAGCCAGCUGCUAAGCUCUGCAGCUCCCCAGUGGACAGUGUCAUUGUGCCCAGAGUGCUGCAAGGUGAGGCCUGCUGUGCUGCCCGCACACCUGAGUGCAAAACCAAGCACUGUGGGUAUGGUGUUUCCCUCUCUGGGGUAGAGUACGCCCUCUUGCUGGGCAAAGAGGAAGUGGCACCCCUCCCCUCACCACAGAUGCUGAGAUGGUAGCAUAGAAAUGAUAUCUGGCCCCCCCUUAACACUGGAGCCCCACUCCCUUCUCCCAUCCGGCCCGAGAUUAGGGAGGAUUGACUGUGUCAGGGAUGGUGGGUGGCCUCUCUCGCUGCCAGGGCCCUUGUCAGAGCAGCCAGGCUGGACAGACGGCCUCCCUCCUCUCCAUCUGACCGGCACCUGCUGCUUCGGGGCUUAGGCCACCGCUCCCUGUCCCCAGAGGAGAUAGCCCCAGAUGGACUGGACUGUUGUGGCAUGAGAGUGCAUGUGUGCAAUGGCCCCGCUGUGGUCCCCUCUCUGUCCCUCCAUCUGUAUGUGUUCUCUCUGUGUCCCUUGCAUGUGUGCGUGUUAGAGUGAGCGCGUAUGCAUCAACUCAUUGGGCUCUUGGCUGCUCACAAGGCAACUUUGACUUGGAAAGACUUUCAUCUCCUUGGAACCAAGACUUCCUGAGUCCCCCUCACCCUGGCCCUGUUCCACCAUGGUUAUCUGGGUAUUGGGGAAUGGAAACUUUGGGGGAGUGACUUUUUAAAGAGACACUUAUAAUUUCUACUACUGCACUACUGUCCAUUGUGGGAUGAUUAAACAUGGUAUUUAACUGUG